This 303-nucleotide ribosomal RNA is filed under the name uncultured bacterium. Its description in RNAcentral is "partial 16S ribosomal RNA". It matches the Rfam family "Bacterial small subunit ribosomal RNA", at positions 507 to 807 of the family's 1533-position model. The record is from RNAcentral.
AGCAGUCGCCGCGGUAAUACGAAGGGUGCAAGCGUUAAUCGGAAUUACUGGGCGUAAAGCGUGCGCAGGCGGUUUGUUAAGACAGAUGUGAAAUCCCCGGGCUCAACCUGGGGACUGCAUUUGUGACUGGCAAGCUAGAGUGUGGCAGAGGGGGGUGGAAUUCCGCGUGUAGCAGUGAAAUGCGUAGAUAUGCGGAGGAACACCGAUGGCGAAGGCAGCCCCCUGGGCCAACACUGACGCUCAUGCACGAAAGCGUGGGGAGCAAACAGGAUUAGAUACCCGCGUAGUCCCUGUCUCUUAUAC